Non-coding RNA from Xylogone sp. PMI_703, 114 nucleotides. The record is from the annotation of a GenBank genome assembly. Lineage: Eukaryota; Fungi; Ascomycota; Leotiomycetes.
GUCGCGAUGGCGGAGUGGUUAACGCGUUAGACUUGAAUAUAGAUACAUAUUAUAUGUAUCUACGGUAGAGAUCUAAUCACUUCGGUGGCGUAGGUUCGAAUCCUGCUCGCGACG